Homo sapiens (human) is the source of this 647-nucleotide long non-coding RNA. RefSeq lists it as uncharacterized. The record is from RefSeq and is a predicted model, not a curated record. The transcript is spliced from 3 exons. Lineage: Eukaryota; Metazoa; Chordata; Mammalia; Primates; Hominidae.
AGGCAAAUGUGAAAGCUGGAACCCCAACAUCCAUCUUGGGCCAUGAGAUGGUGAAGCCGUAUAUAGAGGUAGGGGGAGCAGAAGGAAGAUGCCUGGGUCUCUGAGGUCUGCAGACCUGCUAUACCAGUCCCGACUGCCUGUAUCUGGACAGAACACAUUUCUGGAAAACAACAAAUUCUGUGUGUUUAAGCCACUGUUCUUUUGAGUUUUCUGCAAGUCACAGAUGAAUCUAAUCCUAAUACUGGAUGGAAAGCUAGCCCAAGAGGAACUCGUUUGAAACCUUCGUGGCUUCCUGUUGCCUGCAGGAGAAAGUCCUGGCUUUCAAGGCCUGUACAAUCUGCCUUAACCUUCCUUUCUAGCCUCAUCUGCAACUCAAAACUUCCAAAUCAUCCUUGGACACUCCAAUCAAAGAGGACUCAGGAACCAGGUACCAUCUUGAGACCAGAGACCUAACCUGUCUGUGUCUUGAUCUUGGACUUCCCAGCCUCCAGAAGAACCGUUUUUGGGCUUGGACUGGAACCACACCAUCAGCGUUCCUGCGUCUCCAGCUUGCAGAUGUCAGAUCAUGGGACUUCUCAGUUUCCAUAAUUGUGUGAGCCAACCUCUAAUGAUAAAUCUGGCCUUGGUGACCCAGGAGCCAGGCAGAG